Molecule: ribosomal RNA, 675 nt
Filed under: alpha proteobacterium IMCC14308
Lineage: Bacteria; Pseudomonadati; Pseudomonadota; Alphaproteobacteria
Description: bacterial SSU rRNA
Rfam family: Bacterial small subunit ribosomal RNA
Source: RNAcentral
ACGUACGCUGGCGGCACGCCUAACACAUGCAAGUCGAACGAAGUAGCAAUACUUAGUGGCAGACGGGUGAGUAACAUGUAGGUAUCUGCCCUUUGGCCUGGAAUAACACGAGGAAACUUGUGCUAAUACCGGAUAAGUCUUUACGGAGAAAGCUUUAUGCACCAUUGGAUGAGCCUGCACUUGAUUAGUUUGUUGGUGGGGUAAUGGCCUACCAAGACUGUGAUCAAUAGCUGAUUUGAGAGGAUGAUCAGCCACAUUGGGACUGAGACACGGCCCAAACUCCUACGGGAGGCAGCAGUGGGGAAUCUUGCACAAUGGAGGAAACUCUGAUGCAGCGAUGCCGCGUGAGUGAAGAAGGCCUUUGGGUUGUAAAGCUCUUUCGUCGGGGAAGAAAAUGACUGUACCCGAAUAAGAAGGUCCGGCUAACUUCGUGCCAGCAGCCGCGGUAAUACGAAGGGACCUAGCGUAGUUCGGAAUUACUGGGCUUAAAGAGUUCGUAGGUGGUUGAAAAAGUUGGUGGUGAAAUCCCAGAGCUUAACUCUGGAACUGCCAUCAAAACUUUUCAGCUAGAGUAUGAUAGAGGAAAGCAGAAUUUCUAGUGUAGAGGUGAAAUUCGUAGAUAUUAGAAAGAAUACCAAUUGCGAAGGCAGCUUUCUGGAUCAUUACUGACACUGA